RNAcentral lists this unclassified non-coding RNA (26 nucleotides) under Mus musculus (house mouse). RNAcentral describes it as "oocyte_clustered_small_RNA6402". The record is from RNAcentral. Lineage: Eukaryota; Metazoa; Chordata; Mammalia; Rodentia; Muridae.
UUGGUGGAGGACUUGCUGCUGGUGUA